RNAcentral lists this ribosomal RNA (486 nucleotides) under uncultured bacterium. RNAcentral's name for it is "partial 16S ribosomal RNA". It matches the Rfam family "Bacterial small subunit ribosomal RNA", at positions 30 to 507 of the family's 1533-position model. The record is from RNAcentral.
AUUGAACGCUGGCGGCAUGCCUUACACAUGCAAGUCGAACGGCAGCACAGGUGCUUGCACCUGGUGGCGAGCGGCGAACGGGUGAGUAAUACAUCGGAACAUGUCCUGUAGUGGGGGAUAGCCCGGCGAAAGCCGGAUUAAUACCGCAUACGAUCUACGGAUGACAGCGGGGGACCUUCGGGCCUCGCGCUAUAGGGUUGGCCGAUGGCUGAUUAGCUAGUUGGUGGGGUAAAGGCCUACCAAGGCGACGAUCAGUAGCUGGUCUGAGAGGACGACCAGCCACACUGGGACUGAGACACGGCCCAGACUCCUACGGGAGGCAGCAGUGGGGAAUUUUGGACAAUGGGCGAAAGCCUGAUCCAGCAAUGCCGCGUGUGUGAAGAAGGCCUUCGGGUUGUAAAGCACUUUUGUCCGGAAAGAAAUCCUUGGCCCUAAUACGGUCGGGGGAUGACGGUACCGGAAGAAUAAGCACCGGCUAACUACGUG